UACGUAGGGGGGCAAGCGUUGUCCGGAUUUAUUGGGCGUAAAGAGCGUGUAGGCGGCCAUUCAGGUCAGCUGUGAAAACUCGAGGCUCAACCUCGAGACGUCGGUUGAAACCGUUUGGCUAGAGUCCGGAAGAGGAGAGUGGAAUUCCCGGUGUAGCGGUGAAAUGCGCAGAUAUCAGGAAGAACACCCGUGGCGAAGGCGGCUCUCUGGAACGCAACUGACGCUGAGACGCGAAAGCCGUGGGGAGCAAACAGG
RNAcentral lists this ribosomal RNA (255 nucleotides) under uncultured bacterium. RNAcentral's name for it is "partial 16S ribosomal RNA". It matches the Rfam family "Bacterial small subunit ribosomal RNA", at positions 524 to 776 of the family's 1533-position model. The record is from RNAcentral.